Molecule: long non-coding RNA, 955 nt
Organism: Aegilops tauschii subsp. strangulata
Lineage: Eukaryota; Viridiplantae; Streptophyta; Magnoliopsida; Poales; Poaceae
Source: RefSeq, a predicted model, not a curated record
GCUUUUUUUGCUGCACAAUGCUCAUUUUGCUGCUAGUGUCCAUUUAGCAGUUUUUUACUAUGUUUUGGCCUAGUUUUGUUCACGUGUAUAAUAAGCAUCCUGAAUGCUCAUUUAGCAGUGUAUUAAUAACACUGCUAGUUUUGUUCACGUGUAUUCAGAUUAAUACACUGUGUUAUUAAACUGCACAGUGCUCAUCCUGUUGGCUACUUGUCGAUGUUCUCCGCAUAACUAUAGGCUGCCAUGUCUUUUCCACUUUCCUUUUCGCUUUCUGUAAUGCUAACUUGACGGUAACCCUAUAGUUUGUUGGCUGUUGCAACCCAGCAGCGGCGCUUCCAUUUUAACGCAUGUACUAGUGUGCUAAAACUUGCAAAAGACACAAAUCUUGAGCUUUCUUUAUCGGCUUGUUGCUGCUGCUCCUUGUGUACAAUGAUUGAUGUUGCUCUAGUUAGUGUUGCAGAGGAAGAAAGAGGAUGUAUUUAUAUUACUUGCUUCUGCUGCUUAUAUAUAGACAUUAGGCUCGUCCCUGGACCAGAUGUUCAAGUACAGCCCCAUCCACCGCAUCGACCUGGAGUCAGGUGAAUGGAGCUUGUGUUGUUGGUAGAACUCCGUUGAUGACUUCUUCCUAUGUUGAAGAGCAUGUUCCGUGGUAUCCAAGAGUAGAUAGCUUUACACUGGCAGAGCGUUUUAUUUUUCGAUCGCAAUGUUUGUGAUUGUGUGGAAUAUUGUACGGUUAUCUACGUGAAGUUUGAAGUUCCUGGGCAUGCAAUAUUUGAUGGUUAAACUGGUUAUUGUGAUGUGAACGAGUGUAUGGAGUUUCACAUGUUUUGUUCUAUACAUAAUAUAUUGUAAUAAACCUAUUUUGGUUGUUAUUUGAAGAUUUUCAUAUUCUUCUCUUCUUUCUGUUUGAUAUAUACUGCUUAAAAAGCGAUGUGGAUCCACUGCCAGGAAAAAAUCU